Molecule: ribosomal RNA, 503 nt
Filed under: uncultured bacterium
Lineage: Bacteria
Description: bacterial SSU rRNA
Rfam family: Bacterial small subunit ribosomal RNA
Source: RNAcentral
AUGGGGGAAACCCUGACGCAGCGACGCCGCGUGCGGGAUGAAGGCCUUCGGGUUGUAAACCGCUUUCACCAGGGACGAAGCGAGAGUGACGGUACCUGGGGAAGAAGCGCCGGCUAACUACGUGCCAGCAGCCGCGGUAAUACGUAGGGCGCGAGCGUUGUCCGGAAUUAUUGGGCGUAAAGAGCUCGUAGGCGGCCGGUUGCGUCUGCUGUGCAAUCCCGGGGCUUAACCCCGGGCGUGCAGUGGAUACGGGCCGGCUGGAGGCAGGCAGGGGAGAAUGGAAUUCCCGGUGUAGCGGUGAAAUGCGCAGAUAUCGGGAGGAACACCGGUGGCGAAGGCGGUUCUCUGGGCCUGUACUGACGCUGAGGAGCGAAAGCGUGGGGAGCGAACAGGAUUAGAUACCCUGGUAGUCCACGCCGUAAACGUUGGGCGCUAGGUGUGGGUCCCUUCCACGGGGUCUGUGCCGCAGCUAACGCAUUAAGCGCCCCGCCUGGGAGUACGGG